Molecule: unclassified non-coding RNA, 150 nt
Filed under: soil metagenome
Description: partial internal transcribed spacer 1
Source: RNAcentral
CCGAGUUUACAACUCCACAAACCCCUGUGAACAUACCUAUAUGUUGCCUCGGCGGAUCAGCCCGCCGCCCCCGUAAAACGGGACGGCCCGCCGCAGGAUCCACAAACUCUGUUUUUAUUGUAACUUCUGAGUAACAAAACAAAUAAAUCA